AGUGAACGCUGGCGGUAGGCCUAACACAUGCAAGUCGAACGGCAGCACAGUAAGUGCUUGCUCUUACGGGUUGCGAGUGGCGGACGGGUGAGGAAUACAUCGGAAUCUACUUUUUCGUGGGGGAUAACGUAGGGAAACUUACGCUAAUACCGCAUACGACCUACGGGUGAAAGCAGGUGAUCUUCGGACCUUUCGCGAUUGAAUGAGCCGAUGUCGGAUUAGCUAGUUGGCGGGGUAAAGGCCCACCAAGGCGACGAUCCGUAGCUGGUCUGAGAGGAUGAUCAGCCACACUGGAACUGAGACACGGUCCAGACUCCUACGGGAGGAAGCAGUGGGGAAUAUUGGAAAAUGGGCGAAAGCCUGAUCCAGCCAUACCGCGUGGGUGAAGAAGGCAUUCGGGUUGUAAAGCCCUUUUGAUGGGAAAGAAAAGCAGCAGGUUAAUACCCCGCUGUUCUGACGGUACCCAAAGAAUAAGCACCGGCUAACUUCGUG
Molecule: ribosomal RNA, 492 nt
Filed under: uncultured bacterium
Lineage: Bacteria
Description: partial 16S ribosomal RNA
Rfam family: Bacterial small subunit ribosomal RNA
Source: RNAcentral